UACGUAGGGUGCAAGCGUUGUCCGGAAUUAUUAGGCGUAAAGAGCUCGUAGGCGGUUUGUUGCGUCGGCUGUGAAAACCUGAGGCUCAACCUCAGGCCUGCAGUCGAUACGAGCAGACUAGAGUGUUGCAGGGGAGACUGGAAUUCCUGGUGUAGCAGUGAAAUGCGUAGAUAUCAGGAGGAAUACCGAUGGCGAAGGCAGGUCUCUGGGCUGACACUGACGCUCAUGCACGAAAGCGUGGGGAGCAAACAGG
Molecule: ribosomal RNA, 253 nt
Filed under: uncultured bacterium
Lineage: Bacteria
Description: partial 16S ribosomal RNA
Rfam family: Bacterial small subunit ribosomal RNA
Source: RNAcentral